CCUACGGGUGGCAGCAGUCGAGAAUCAUUCACAAUGGGGGAAACCCUGAUGGUGCGACGCCGCGUGGGGGAAUGAAGGUCUUCGGAUUGUAAACCCCUGUCAUGUGGGAGCAAAUUAAAAAGAUAGUACCACAAGAGGAAGAGACGGCUAACUCUGUACCAGCAGCCGCGGUAAUACAGAGGUCUCAAGCGUUGUUCGGAAUCACUGGGCGUAAAGCGUGCGUAGGCUGUUUCGUAAGUCGUGUGUGAAAGGCGCGGGCUCAACCCGCGGACGGCACAUGAUACUGCGAGACUAGAGUAAGGGAGGGGGAACCGGAAUUCUCGGUGGAGCAGUGAAAUGCGUAGAUAUCGAGAGGAACACUCGUGGCGAAGGCGGGUUCCUGGACAUUAACUGACGCUGAGGCACGAAGGCCAGGGGAGCGAAAGGGAUUAGAUACCCCUGUAGUC
RNAcentral lists this ribosomal RNA (446 nucleotides) under uncultured bacterium. RNAcentral describes it as "partial 16S ribosomal RNA". It matches the Rfam family "Bacterial small subunit ribosomal RNA", at positions 338 to 795 of the family's 1533-position model. The record is from RNAcentral.